RNAcentral lists this ribosomal RNA (849 nucleotides) under Curvularia tuberculata. RNAcentral's name for it is "eukaryotic LSU rRNA". It matches the Rfam family "Eukaryotic large subunit ribosomal RNA", at positions 69 to 936 of the family's 3401-position model. The record is from RNAcentral. Lineage: Eukaryota; Fungi; Ascomycota; Dothideomycetes; Pleosporales; Pleosporaceae.
CAGGGAUUGCCCUAGUAACGGCGAGUGAAGCGGCAACAGCUCAAAUUUGAAAUCUGGCUCUUUCAGAGUCCGAGUUGUAAUUUGCAGAGGGCGCUUUGGCUUUGGCAGCGGUCCAAGUUCCUUGGAACAGGACGUCACAGAGGGUGAGAAUCCCGUACGUGGUCGCUAGCUAUUGCCGUGUAAAGCCCCUUCGACGAGUCGAGUUGUUUGGGAAUGCAGCUCUAAAUGGGAGGUAAAUUUCUUCUAAAGCUAAAUAUUGGCCAGAGACCGAUAGCGCACAAGUAGAGUGAUCGAAAGAUGAAAAGCACUUUGGAAAGAGAGUCAAACAGCACGUGAAAUUGUUGAAAGGGAAGCGCUUGCAGCCAGACUUGCUUGCAGUUGCUCAUCCGGGCUUUUGCCCGGUGCACUCUUCUGCAGGCAGGCCAGCAUCAGUUUGGGCGGUGGGAUAAAGGUCUCUGUCACGUACCUCUCUUCGGGGAGGCCUUAUAGGGGAGGCGACAUACCACCAGCCUGGACUGAGGUCCGCGCAUCUGCUAGGAUGCUGGCGUAAUGGCUGUAAGCGGCCCGUCUUGAAACACGGACCAAGGAGUCUAACAUCUAUGCGAGUGUUUGGGUGUCAAGCCCGAGCGCGUAAUGAAAGUGAACGGAGGUGGGAACCCGCAAGGGCGCACCAUCGACCGAUCCUGAAGUUUACGGAAGGAUUUGAGUAAGAGCAUGGCUGUUGGGACCCGAAAGAUGGUGAACUAUGCUUGAAUAGGGUGAAGCCAGAGGAAACUCUGGUGGAGGCUCGCAGCGGUUCUGACGUGCAAAUCGAUCGUCAAAUUUGGGCAUAGGGGCGAAAGACUAAUC